Sander lucioperca (pikeperch) is the source of this 75-nucleotide long non-coding RNA. RefSeq lists it as uncharacterized. The record is from RefSeq and is a predicted model, not a curated record. The transcript is spliced from 3 exons. Lineage: Eukaryota; Metazoa; Chordata; Actinopteri; Perciformes; Percidae.
CAGCUUCUCUUCUCUGGUAGGCGCUACAGAACACUGUUCGCCAAAACAACCAGACAACACCAACAGGUUGUGACA